UUGCUCUUCAACGAGGAAUGCCUAGUAAGCGCAUGUCAUCAGCAUGCGUUGAUUACGUCCCUGCCCUUUGUACACACCGCCCGUCGCUACAACCGAUUGAAUGGCUUAGUGAGGCCUUCGGACUGUCCCAGGGAGGUCGGCAACGACCACCCNAGGGACGGAAAGUUGGUCAAACUUGGUCAUUUAGAGGAUGUAAAAGUCGUAACAAGGUUUCCGUAGGUGAACCUGCGGAAGGAUCAUUAAAGAGUAAGGGUCUCUGGCCCGAACCUCCAACCCUCUGUUGUUAUAACUACUUCGUUGCUUUGGCGGGACCGCGAAGGUUCUCCCGAGCGCGCCAGUCUCCGGACAGGCGAGCGCCCGCCAGAGUCUAACCAAACUCUUGUUUUAAACCAGUCGUCUGAGUAUAAAAUUUUAAUUAAAUUAAAACUUUCAACAACGGAUCUCUUGGUUCUCGCAUCGAUGAAGAACGCAGCGAAAUGCGAUAAGUAAUGUGAAUUGCAGAAUUCAGUGAAUCAUCGAAUCUUUGAACGCACAUUGCGCCCCUUGGUAUUCCGAGGGGCAUGCCUGUUCGAGCGUCAUUACACCACUCAAGCUAUGCUUGGUAUUGGGUGCCGUCCUUAGUUGGGCGCGCCUUAAAGACCUCGGCGAGGCCACUCCGGCUUUAGGCGUAGUAGAAUUUAUUCGAACGUCUGUCAAAGGAGAGGAACUCUGCCGAUUGAAACCUUUUAUUUUUCUAGGUUGACCUCGGAUCAGGUAGGGAUACCCGCUGAACUUAAGCAUAUCAAUAAGCGGAGGA
Molecule: ribosomal RNA, 796 nt
Filed under: uncultured fungus
Lineage: Eukaryota; Fungi
Description: eukaryotic LSU rRNA
Rfam family: Eukaryotic small subunit ribosomal RNA (bases 1-242)
Source: RNAcentral